GAUGAACGCUGGCGGCGUGCUUAACACAUGCAAGUCGAACGGAAAGGCCCUGCUUUUGUGGGGUGCUCGAGUGGCGCACGGGUGAGUGACACGUGAGUAACCUGCCCUUGUAUUUGUGAUAACUUCAGGAAACUGGGGCUAAUACCGGAUAGGAGCUCCUGCUGCAUGGUGGGGGUUGGAAAGUUUCGGCGGUUGGGGCUGGACUCGCGGCUUAUCAGCUUGUUGGUGGAGUAGUGGCUUCCCAAGUGUGUGAGGGAUAGCCGGCCUGCGAGGGUGACCGGGCACAUUGGGACUGAGGUACGCAGCAGUCGGCAAUGGUAGGCAGCAGGCGGAAGUAUUACAGAGUGAGCGCAAGUGUGUGGCGGCAGUCCCCGGUGCGUGAUGAUGGGUUUCGGGGUAUGAACAACUGUCGCCUGUGACAUGGCCGUAUUGACGGUAAUGAAUAAAGAAGCACCGGCUAACUACGUG
This 468-nucleotide ribosomal RNA is filed under the name uncultured bacterium. Its description in RNAcentral is "partial 16S ribosomal RNA". It matches the Rfam family "Bacterial small subunit ribosomal RNA", at positions 28 to 507 of the family's 1533-position model. The record is from RNAcentral.